RNAcentral lists this unclassified non-coding RNA (310 nucleotides) under plant metagenome. RNAcentral describes it as "partial contains 5.8S ribosomal RNA, internal transcribed spacer 2, and large subunit ribosomal RNA". The stretch from base 1 to 105 matches the Rfam family "5.8S ribosomal RNA", at positions 50 to 154 of the family's 154-position model. The record is from RNAcentral.
GAAAUGCGAUAAGUAGUGUGAAUUGCAGAAUUCAGUGAAUCAUCGAAUCUUUGAACGCACAUUGCGCCCCUUGGUAUUCCAUGGGGCAUGCCUGUUCGAGCGUCAUUUGUACCCUCAAGCUCGGCUUGGUGUUGGGUGUUUGUCCCCGUCUCCGCGCGUGGACUCGCCCCAAAGUGAUUGGCAGCCGGCGUACUGGUCCCGGAGCGCAGCACAUGUCGCGCAAACGAGUGCCUUGGUACGGCGGCGUCCAUAAGCCCCUCUCUCACGCUCUUGACCUCGGAUCAGGUAGGGAUACCCGCUGAACUUAAGC